UACGUAGGGGGCAAGCGUUGUCCGGAUUUACUGGGUGUAAAGGGAGCGUAGACGGCCAGACAAGUCUGAAGUGAAAAUCCAGCGCUUAACGUUGGAAGUGCUUUGGAAACUGCCGGGCUAGAGUGCAGGAGGGGCAGGCGGAGUUCCUAGUGUAGCGGUGAAAUGCGUAGAUAUUAGGAGGAACACCAGUGGCGAAGGCGGCCUGCUGGACUGCAACUGACGUUGAGGCUCGAAGGCGUGGGGAGCAAACAGG
This 253-nucleotide ribosomal RNA is filed under the name uncultured bacterium. RNAcentral's name for it is "partial 16S ribosomal RNA". It matches the Rfam family "Bacterial small subunit ribosomal RNA", at positions 524 to 776 of the family's 1533-position model. The record is from RNAcentral.